Mesoplodon densirostris (Blainville's beaked whale) is the source of this 126-nucleotide small nucleolar RNA. RefSeq annotates it as small nucleolar RNA SNORA11. Lineage: Eukaryota; Metazoa; Chordata; Mammalia; Artiodactyla; Ziphiidae. The transcript has a single exon. The record is from RefSeq and is a predicted model, not a curated record.
GGCGUGUGCUCAGAGCAGGGGGUGUGAAGAAAUGGCUUGUUUACAACACAUCUGACAAGAAUCUGGGUUCAUUAGGACAAGGGGCACAAAACUUGCAGCCUUCCUAUAAACAAAUACCCAACACGU